Molecule: long non-coding RNA, 1630 nt
Organism: Cavia porcellus (domestic guinea pig)
Lineage: Eukaryota; Metazoa; Chordata; Mammalia; Rodentia; Caviidae
Exons: 3
Source: RefSeq, a predicted model, not a curated record
UCAUUUUUUUGGAAAAAAUUACUGAGCAACACAUAAGGCCAGAUCCUCUUGCUGUAACCCAAGGGGCAAUGGGGAGAAAAUGAACAAAUUCUUGACUUGCUAGAGCUCAGACUCAGGUCUCUCAUCUUAUUUCUUUCAACCUUAAAAAACCAGACUCAGUGAAUAAAAAUGAGAAAAUUUAGUGGAGCAUCAUGGUGCAAGGCUGUAAUCCUGGUACUUGGGAGACUGAGGCAAGAGGAUAGUUAAUUCGAAGACAGCCUCAUCUACACAGUGGAUUCAAGGACAACUUGAGUCACACAGAGAGCUUAUCUCAAAGGAAAAAGAAGAAUAAAGAGAAUUUACUGCAUAAAAUAUCAUCUUAUAGAAAAAUUAGGAAAUUAAGGGUCUCACCACGUGGCCCAGGCUGGCCUGGAACUUGUCACACUCGCAGCCUGGAAACUGGUUCUCUCUCAUCGCUUCUCUUCCUCUCCAGGUCUCCUUUUUAUGCUGGCAACAGUCCUCAGGGAAUGGAAGCCAGCGUGGAGCCUGGAGCUGGCAGGACAACCUGGAAGAAUGAUGGGUUGCAGGGCAGAAUGGCAAUGACCGAUUGCAGUCCCCUGGGAUACGCUGGAACCUGUACGGGUCCAAGUUCGGGGCAAGCAUGGCCAGCAGGGGCCAGACCCUGCAGCUCGAGGAAAACACGCAUCUUAGUGCUACAUGGUGGGAGCUGGGAUUCAUUGUAUUGUUCUAUUCUGUAGCCUAUAGGUGUAAAUAUUCUGCAGCUGCUAGAAUGUAUUAUGUUAUUAGUCAUUAAAAAAAGAGAAAACAACUUAGAGAAAGUAAUCAGAAGGACAAAGAGUUGGAUCAUUUGUAGGAAUUAGUGCAAGGAAGUGAGUCCAAGCUUUUUACAUCCUGUAGUUUGGGAGAUCAGCUCAUAACUCAGAAGAUGUUACCAUCCCUGCCUGCUAGGAGAGUGAAUGGAUAACAUCUUUACGUUCUGCCUACUUUAGGUACCCACUCUCUGAUCUGGAAAAGCUGUCUUACAGAAAUACCCACAUAGGGGCCACAUGGGCGUGGAAUUUUUGCUACAGCAUUAUUUGUAAAAGCCUAAGCUUUGGAAAUGUCCAUAGGGGGUUUAUAUAAAUUAUGAUGCACCAUCCACACCACAGGCACACAAUACAGAGAUUUAGAAGCACAGUUAAAAACACCAAGUUAAAGAUGCUGGAAGAGAGGCCUGAGUUUUGUGAGUCCAUCCAUUGAAGGUCCCAGAGAAGGCAAACCUAUGGGGAUAGAAUGCAGACAGUGGUUCCCAGGGCCAGGAGUGAGGCUGGGACUGACUGUGAUUAGCCCCAGGGGUCUUUUGAAGUAAAGGAUCUAAAUCUGGAUUACAGUGAUAUUUGUAAAACUCCAUAAAUGUAAUAAAAAUCAUUGGCUUGUGCUAGAGUUUGAACAUCUGAUCAAAAUUCAUGUUGAAAUGUAUUUGUCAUUAAAUAAAAGAAGAUAAUAAAAGAACAUAGGGAAACGUAGGGAAAUAGAUCUUUUGCAGUAAGGAUGGUGACCAAGACCUGGAGGGGGAAGAGGAGAGAAAGGGAAUGAAAAGAGAAUUAAAAUGUGUUAUGUACCAUCAUGUACUGAGAACGUGUACUAAUAA